RNAcentral lists this long non-coding RNA (36649 nucleotides) under Glycine max (soybean). Its description in RNAcentral is "long non-coding RNA (GMAX_LNC000636)". The record is from RNAcentral. Lineage: Eukaryota; Viridiplantae; Streptophyta; Magnoliopsida; Fabales; Fabaceae.
AUCUAAAUGAUUAAGCCAAGUUACAAUGAACUGUGUCAACUCUAUAUAUAGAGUGACUAACAGAAAACUGACUCAAACAGUUACUAACUAUGGUUAAUAACUUCUAGCUAGCUUUUUGUUUUACAUAUAUAACUAAAGAAUCUUGUUUUGUUCUAUUAUUUGUUAUUUAUAAUAUUCUAAUGAAUCUUUAUUUUCCUUUUUAUUAUUAGUUAUUAGAAUAUUUUUUAUUAUUAGAAAGAAUAAAUAGAAUUGGCAAAAAUAAAAAAAAAAUUCAAUAAAAUCAAAAUUAUCACGGGCGAAUAUUUACUCUUUUAUUAUCAAUCAAAUUCAGAUGUAAUGUAGGGCACAACUCCUAAAAAAAGGAUUGCUUUUUGGUUUCUUCCGCCAUCCCACCUAAUGAAUCAUUAAGAUUUGUUUUUAAUAAAAUCUUAAGUAUUUGCAGGUUUCGUCGUUCCCAUCACUUCUCGAUUAAUGGUUAGGUCUGAAUUCGACAAUGGAGCCUUUCUCAUAUCUUAAAAUUAAUAAUCUUUUUUUUUUCGAAUAUUGAUUUGUUUUUUCGUGAAUCAAUAUUCUCAGUUUUUAUUGAUUCAGAGCUCUUAAUUUGUUUACGUUAUAAAUUAAUUCAUAUAUAAAUAGUUGUGUCUUGGUGACUUGUUGGUCAUGGGUUCGAAUCCGGAAACAGCCUCUUUGCAUAUGCAAGGGUAAGGCUGCGUACAAUAUCCCUCCCCCAUACCUUCGCAUAGCGAAGAGCCUCUGGACAAUGGGAUACGAAGUUUUUAUAAAUAGAUAUGAAUUGAUUUAGAUUGAUGCUUUAUUACACUACCUGACAGCUCACUGACAGUUAACUGACAGCUUGCAGUUGACAACUAUGACUAAGUAAAAAUCAUUACACUUAGUGGGAAUAAGAAUACUCUAACAAUUACUGAUCACAUGUGAUACAAAGAAACUGAUCUAUUUUUAGUAUCCACUUAUAAUAGAAACCCUAAACAUUAUUUUUUUUUUUAAAUUAGUGCCCUAAAACCUUUUUUCCUGUUUUUGGUUUUACAGGAAAAAGAAUUAGCCCAAGUAAGGGCGAAGUACUCAUGCUGCAAACACCAGAAGAAAAAUAAAGGGUGUACCUUAAGAAAAGAAUUGGCACUCAUUGUUGAUGGCAUGAGUCCCAUAAUGAAUGAGAUAACCAUCAGUAUCAAUCCAGAGAAAAAGUGGAUCAAGAGAACCACAUUCUGUAAGACAAGUGAAUAUCUUAGUAUUUAUAAUAGUGAUAGCUAACAAAUAAGAAAACAAGGUCUCCUCAUACCUGCGCCAUGGUAUGGUCAAAAAAGAAAAAUGUAAGGCAAUAAGUUGAUGAUGCGAUUGCAAGUCCAUAUUCCAAAAGCAUGAGGAUUGUUGGUAACAAAGAAACCCCUCCAACAAACUGAUCCAGACCUACAAUAAGAUUCAAUAAACAAUAAUUAGCAUUGAAAACAAUGCUACUGUAAGACAGAAACCCCAAGGGGGGUAAUGCUUGGGAGUAUUGUGGUGAAUCAGGAAUCAUAUUAUGAUCACUAUUAUCAGUAUAUGUCAUUGUAUAAUUGUGAAAACAGUUUUGUAUUUUGUUUGUAAGGGCUGUUAGCCUUUGCUAACAGCACCCAUUCUGUAAUGAGUAACCACUGUAAGGGCUGUUAGCUUUUGCUAACAGCACCCAUUUCGUGUUAGUUAGUACUUCAGGGAGUACAAGGGUUUUUCUAACUGCAACCUAUCCCAUAUUCUACUAGAGGUGGCACACUGCUAAUGUCUGUCAUUUUUUCAGAACUGAUAUCAGUUUUCAGCCAUGAGUCCCUAACCUUUUCUGAUCCCACCACGCUGCAACCUAUCCCAUAUUCUACUGGUUCAACCAGAUCCUCCAAUACUUGGGGUUAAUCCCAAUGCUAAGUCCACUGUUCCUAGUCCCAGUCAGCCCAAUGCCAUGCUCACAAACUCCUCCUCUCAUGGUAAUGAUGCAUCUGGCUCCACUUGGAUACUAGAUUCUAGAGCCAGUUUUCAUGUUACUGGUGACUCUCAAAAUAAUAUACAAUUUACUCAUUUUGAUAGACCUAAGCAGAUUUUCAUAGGCAAUGGUAAAGGUUUAAGUAUCUCCAACUCCGAUUCCUCAAUUUUUGUUUCUCCUAAUGACACUGCCAUAACCUUUAAGCUUCAUAAGUUGUUACAUGUUCCUUCAAUUUCGAAAAAUCAGUUAAGUGUGAGUCAAUUUGCCUAAGACAACUCUGUUUCACCCUCAUUUGUAUCUUGUGAAAUCUCAGGAGACCAAUAAAAUUCUUCUACAAGGAGUGGUUGGUGUUGAUGGACUCUAUUCUUUUCACAACCUCAAGCUUCAAGGCAAUCCUUCUCUGCUGAUGUCCACUUCUGCUUCUGUUCCAAAUGCUAAGUUUCCUACUUCAGCUGCUACUGUCAAUCAUACCUCUAAUAUUGUUUCAAAUUCUGGUGUUACCUCUUCCACUAGUCUUAAUCUUUGGCAUGCUAGGUUAUGACAUCCUAAUGAUCAUGUAAUGAAAAUUGUUCUCAAACAGUGUAAUAUUUCUCAACUGAAUAAAAACAUCACCGAGUUUUGUUCUUCUUGUUGGAUGGGUAAAGCUCAUAGGUUACCCUCUCACAGCUCAACAGGCUUCCCACUCCCUCUCUCAAGUUUGUUGUUCCUUUUGUUACUUUGUUUAAUAAAGAGUCUGAUUAUCAUUUUCUUAAAACUUUUAGGUGUGCCUGUUUUCCUUUACUAAGGCCAUAUCAUACACACAAGCUCAAUUUUCGGUCUCAAGAGUGUUUGAUUCUGGGUUAUUCCUUAUCUCACAAGGGUUACAAGUGCUUGUCAUCCUCUGGUAGAAUUUACAUAUCUAAGGAUGUUCUGUUAAUGAGUUGAGAUUUCCCUAUGCUGAUCUUUUUCCUUCUUCCACUAAUUCCACAAAAAAUGUUGAUUCUUAUUUUAGCCUAAGUCCUAACCUUUCUCCACCUUUUGUUGCCUCUAUUCUAUCAAUAAGAUUGAUAAGCAGAUUAUUUGUCAUUAUUUGUGCAGAUUUAUUGGCCCUUUAAAUUAGCAUAUCUUGUAUGAUUGUUUAGCUAUAAUUGUGUAAUUAUAUCCUUAAUUACUUAGCCCAGCUGUAGGUUACCAUAUAUAAUUUUUUAGCAAAUUUCAAGGUUAGAUAUCAGAUUGUAUCAUAUUAUUUAAAUGAGAAUUCUCUAGAGGAGAGGACACAGUUUUCAUCCUAAUUUCUGAGUUUAACAUGGUAUCAAAACCUAUAGCCCAUCUUAGUUCUUGCCUAUUCUAGUAAGCUCGCCUGUAUUGGUAGGCAUCUGUGGAGGGGGGUGUUAGGAAGUCCCACAUCGUCUGCCUCAGUUCUUGAGGUGCAGCUUAUAUAUCUGUUGGACAACUUAGUGCCAAAUGGUUUUAAGUUGAAAUCUAACAGUUCAAGCACUCUAUGAUGCUGAUUGGGCGUCUCAUGUGAAUGACAAGCGCUCCACCUCAAGGACUGCCAUUUUUUCUUGGUCCAAACUUAGUCUCUUGGUGGUCUCACAAGCAAAAGGUUACUGUCAGGUCUAGUACUGAAGCUGAAUAUCGCAACAUUGCUCAAACUUUCACUAAAUUGACUUGGAUUUAUACUCUACUGACAGAGUUACAAGUUUCUUUCACUACUCCGGUAAUUUUUGUGAUAAUCAGAGUGUUGUUUCUAUUGUUCACAAUCUUGUUUUUCACUGUCGAACAAAACACAUGGAGAUUGAUGUGUUUUAUGUGAGAGAGAAGUUUUGGCCAAGCAGCUCUCAAUUGUUCAUAUUCUAGCUCUAGAUCAGUGGGCUGAUAUUCUAACUAAACCUCUGUCUACAUCAAGAUUUGAGGCUCUGAGAGGCAAACUCAAUGUGAAGAGUGUUUCCAUUGAAAACUCUCCCCCUUAAGUUUGAGGGGGGGUAUCAGUAUAUGUCAUUGUAUAACUGUGAAAACAGUUUUGUAUUUUGUUUGUAAGGACUGUUAGCCUUUUGUAACAGCACCCAUUCUAUAAUGAGUAACUACUGUAAGGACUAUUAGCUUUUGCUAUCAGCAUUCAUUUCAUCUUAGUCAGUACUUCAGGGAGUACAAGGGCUUUUCUAACUGCACCUCAAUAGGAUCAGUUAGUUAUAAUUAGUUCUGUUGUAUAGAGGUAUAUAAAUUCUUGAAUUGUAACUACCUCUAACUAACUUUUCAGAUCAAUAGAAUCAGCUUUGUUCUUCUCCUUUUUCUUCUCUAUUUUUCCUCUGUUUUUCUCUCAAUUUAUCGAAAAACUACCCACAGUCACACCCAUUCAACAACCUGAAAACUCUAGUGAGGAAGAUUCUAAUAUUUAUUUAUCUAUUUAUUUAUUGGUAACAGAAAGUUUAGGGGUAGGGCAGGUUGAAAGGCUCUAAUAUUUAAAUGACCAAUUAUGUCAAAAUUUUGACUUAUCAGAGACAAGAUGUCCUAGAAAUCAAAUAUUAUAUCACGUCAUGCAAAGUCUCUUCAGUGUGAAGCACAUAUAAUAUGCAUAUAUAAAACACACCAUUAUAUUGUCCUGAUAUUUAAAAUAAUACACUGAUGAAGCAGACAAUGGUCAAGAUUUGGAGAAGUUAAGGAGGCUCUAAUAUUAUAUCAGGAAGGAAACAACUGACCAAUGUGAAGUAUAUACAAAUAAAAAACACAACAUGGAGCAGUUAAGGAGGCUCUAAUAUUAUAUCAAGGAAAUGUUGACCUUAAAGAUCAAUCAAAUAAAUGGGAGCUAAUAUCCUUUAUAGAUAUCUCUACAAACCAGGAAUAGAUUCUCUCAUGUGAGUUCUUCACUUUUGUUUCUAUCUCUCUCUUUACUUGGCCCAGUGACAUGAAAAUCCCAUGAGAGGAUCCAUUCCCAUGAUAAACCCAAUUAUGUAGGUUAAACUUAAUACAAAAAGGCCCACAUAUUUUGUUAAAGAUUAUAAGAGUAUACUUACUCGAUAGAUAGUUAUCUUUACUUGGGUUUUUUCCAAUACACCCCCUCACUUCCAGCACUUCUUGGGCUUGGUGCGUGGAUAACAAUGGUGGGUGACCCUUUGUAUUAAACUUGAAUAAGCUCUGAUACCAUCUUAAAAUCUUAGAAUGUGAGUUUAGGCCUAACUCAACCCCAAAAGCUAGCUCAAGGGGUGAGGGUUGCCCCUCACUUAUAUACUAUUACUUGGCUUUAUCUUUAGCUGAUGUGUGACUUGGGUUUUUCCCAAUAUGUAAAGAUUAAACUAUAGUUAGUAGUGAGUUUAUAGUUAGUUAGUUAACUGUUAGGACAGCUGUUUAACAGCUGUCACUAACUGACUAGAGUUAGUUGACAAUUGCAGUUAUGUAACUGUCUACAUAAAUUGAGGUGUAAACUGUUCAUUCCUUGGGCUGAAUAAUAUCAUCUUUUCACCUCAAUGCAGUUUUAUUUAUUCUCUCUCUCAAGAUUCAUUUAUGGUAUCAUAGAGCUUUGUUUCAAUCCCUAGAAUUUUCAUGCCCUCCGCUUCCAAUCCUUCUCUGCCAGGGAAAAAUGGCACUCUACUAGCUUCUCCAUCUGUUGUAACUGCAAAAGAAUUCUCACACUCAAUCUCGCAGAAGUUGAAGAACGCCAACUACCUCCUAUGGUGUCAACAGGUUGAACAUGUGCUCAAAGUCCAUAGCCUUUAACAUCUUCUCACCGAGCCUCAAAUUCCACCGCAAUACACCACCAUUGCCUAUCACGAUGCCGGUAUUACUUCACCCGAGUUCUUACUCUAGGAGCAACAAGAUCAGCUCCUCCUCUCGUGGCUACAAUCCACCAUUUCUGGUGUGGUUCUUCCAUGACUCGUCGGAAGCAAAACUUCUUGGCAUCUUUGGGACAAACUUCAUACGCACUUUUACUCUAUUAUUCAUGCGAAAAAGCAUCAACUCUGCAACGAUCUUCAUACCAUCUUUCUCAAUAAUAGCUCAAUUUCUGAUUAUCUGUUUCGUAAUCAAACCAUAAUUGACUCGCUCUCAUCAAUUGGAGAACAUGUUUCUGAAUCUGAACUUGUUGAUAUAGUUCUUGAUGGUUUGCCUGAUGAGUUUGAAUCUCUUGUUACGUUCAUAAAUGGAAAGUUUGAGUCUCUAUAUCAAUGAAGUCGCGACUCUACUUCUUGCUCACGAGACUCAUAUUUCUCGCAAGAAAGCUCUUGCUUCGUUACUUGCUUCAAUUAAUCUUGCCGAAGCUGCUAAACCUAAUUUUAGCCCUAAUUCUUCUAUGCAAGCGUUUUCCAGCGACUCUGCCUCUACAAAUCCACAAGCUUAUGUUUCUCAGGGUCAGUCUAGCUUAUCGUCAAACUUUGGUUCAAGCUACAACAAUUAUAAUGGUGGAAAUAGGUUUUUCAACUCCGUUCAUGGUGGUGACCAGAACUUCUCUCGUGGUGGUGGCUGCGGCAGAGGUUGCUACUUCAAUGUGCAGUAUCAUAUUUGUCACAAAUAUGACCUGGCUACUUUCUGCCAUCAUAGGCAUGAUGACGAUUAUGUUCUCACUCAACCAAUGGAUUACCCCAACCAAUACUCCGAUCAGAAUCAAUCUCAGACUUCAGCCCAAUCAGUAUCACAGUCAGAAUCCUAAUUCAUAUCCUAGUCAGCAGUCUAACCAAUCUCAGUACAUCAGUACUCAUCUCAGUCUCAAUACAACAACCAAUCAGCACCUGUUCAACAUCCUCCACAAGCACAUCUGACUAGCGUGGUGCUGGCAAUCAAAACUGACUGCUAUAAAUAAGAAACCCUCCAAGGUAGAAAUAGAAGAGAAAAAAAAUACAAAGAAAAAGUUGCAUAUAAUGGUCAAUGAAAAGAUAAGCAUGAUAAUAUAAAUUAGAACACUUACUACAUUUGAUAUAACAUUGUAUAGCAAUUACCUAAAACAAUGAAUAAAUACCUAAACAAUCUUUGUUUUUUAUAAAAAGGGCAACUCAAUGCACAGGACCUCUAGGUCAUAAAGCAGCAACCUAAUUGGACCAAGGUUUGCCCUCCCCAAUUAAAGAAGAAAUUUUAUUGACGAGAGAAAUAAUACAAGUCCAAAUGAUAAGAUUUCCUUUAGAAAAAGAAACAUGUUGAGAUAUGGUUUUGAUAUGUGUUAAGAUAACAUUCUGAUAUGAUUGUUUCCUUAUUCACAUUAGGAUUGUUUCCUUAUUUCCUAGAUCUAUUAAACAGGCCACCCACCAUGUCAUCCACGCACCAAGCCCAAAAGUGUUGGACGUGAGGACAACCCUCACCCUAUGAGCUAGCUUUUGGGGUUGAGUUAGGUCCAAACUCACAUUCUAAGAAAACAAAAUAAUAAAGAUAGAUCAAGUAAGCAAAACUUGCCAAUCUCUCUGCAUAUUUGAGAAAGAUAUAAAUAAAUAAGCCACCAUAGCACCAUGAAUUUUAGAGUUGGGUUCAUGAUCAAGGUCAAUGUUCAUUACCAUAGCAAAUUAAAUAUGCAGAUAACGAUUAAUCAUCAUGAAUAAUGAAUUGGAAACAUACCAAAGACGUAAAAGAGAACUAUGGCAAAAGAGGCCGGAAACAAGAAGCUCACGAAGUCCCAAAUAAAUGUAGAAGCCCAAUAUGACAGGACAGAAACCUGAUUAGCAAGUUCAAAAUAAGAUUAAUAUUCAAAAGGAGAUAGAAAAGCGUAUUCAUUGAAUGCUUUCUAUUUUGAAAACAUUAUAUACCCCACUGAUUAGUUGUUGCUGCUUAGCUUUCACUUCACGUUCCUGUACCAAUCAAGAAUUUACAUGUGUUUAGCCUAAGACACAAGAAAUCUGAGAAUGUCAUUAAUCUUGGACACUCUUGUAGCAAGAAGUUUACUCUAGUGAAUUCAUGACAUGUCAAAUGAAAAAUAUGGACUUCAUAUAGAAAACAAAAAAAUUGAAAAUGAAAUUUGUCAAUUUAUCUAAGAUCGCAACAACAGAAACUUAUGGGAAUCUUGAAUAAAGAAAAUGUUCUCUUUUAUAGAUUGUUUCAGGAGGAAGAAAAAUACUAAAUUAAAAAGACGACAAGUUGGAAGCAGUUUAACACAACAUACCUUAACAAUUGAAACGGCAAAUGAGGCAGGUAUAAAAGAGAAAGCAAUAUUGACAAUAACUGCAGCAGAGAAGGCAUCCAGGUCCUACAGAAUUUCAUCUACAGUAUCAAAUCUUCAAUUUUCUGAAGCGCAUAGAGGGGACAAUAAAACAUAGAUUUGGUACAAAUGUAAAGGGCAUUGCCAUAUUAACACAAUAUUAUUUAAUAUUGCUGAUUAGCAUACAAGUCAGAAAUUAUGUGAAACUACGAAAAAUAAGAACCAUAGAAGUAGAAACUAACACAAACUACAAAUGCAUUGCAAUAUAAUAAGGCAAUAUAUCCUGAAUCCCAACAUAUACCCAUUAUCAAUACUAACUGGAUCAUGUAUCAUGAUGCUUGAAGAAUACCCACUUAUGUGAAAUAAAAAAUUAGCUUACAUGACGUUGUAAGCGCUGGCUUUGUGUCGUUGGUAAGGGGUGGUUGCGUGUCUGAAUUGUCAUGUUUGUGUCAUGAGUUGCAAGCCUGAGAAUUGCAGAAUUCAUCAAAUUGAUAAAUGUAGGAGCAGCAUGUUGACAGGAACAGUUGUGUAAUACAGUGUAUCCUAAGCUUCCAUCAUUAUUCUGGUCAUCCAUCACAAUUGCCCCAUACCUGAAUGUCAAAAACACAGCAAUAAAACAAACUAUUUUGUCAUCAUCAUAAAAAUUGUAUUCAGUUGUUUUAUCUGAGUUGAUCAGUUGACAAGUAAUAAUAUAGUUAAACUGGUUCCUUGCAGAAAUAUAUACAGCACUAUACUAGGGCAUGAACCUAAGAUCUUCUAGUUUGGACAGUAGGUUUCUUGUCAAAGCACCUCUAGACUGAAAAUUCCUUCACAAGAAGAAAACCACGGGGCUUGAAAUGUGGACAAAGCAUACACUCAAAUCAAGCUUUUAUGAAAACAACAAACAACUUCACAAAAAUAAUUUUAAUUUUUUAGUCUGGGCGGCAAGAAAAAAUAUUACACAAAAUUCACUAGUAAAGUUUACAGAAAUCUUCCAUGAUCUCAAUAGAGAAGCAAAUGUGAGUCACAUAUAUAAUCACAUCAAUAAAUGAAAAUAAUCAUUGAUUCUAGGAAGAAACACUGACUCAAUUUAGGUUUGUUCAAAAUAGAAUUUCAUCUUCCUGUAUAAUAAAACGAAUAAGGAAAAAUAUUAUAAUAUCAUUCUCAUGGCUGCCCCAAUACUAAUAUGGAUUCUAUAUUGCACAAAAAAAUGUUUCAUAAUAAUUGCUUGACAAUUCUUAAAAGAGAUAAAAACUAAAAAUGAAACAGGAGACUCAGGUUUUCUGACCUAGAUUGGUAGGAUUCAUUAAAGCUUGACAUCAAAUAUUCACUCAUUGAAAGUAGAGCAGGUCCCAAGGUUGGUCCUGCCGCUUCCACUGCAUCAGCCAAUGCCUUUUCUGAAUUAGGGAAUCUGUACGAGCUUGGCUUGAACCUCUGAAUCCACCCUCCGAUGACAUUUUGUGCUACCUUGAAAUAAAAAUCUCAGCAAAACUCAAUCACGACCCACCAGCUUCAUCUUUUUUAGCAGCAUAAGUCUAUGACUACAGAUAAAAAAGAAAACAUAAAAAAUGGAGUAAGCAAUCAGUGACAAACCUUUUCAGCAAUUGGCAAAGAUAGAUUAAACGGAAUUGGGCCUCCUCCACCCCCACCACUCAAUAGAGGAUUAAAAUGAGAAGUUGAAAGGGUGAGUGAUUGCUGAUCAGGAUGUGGCUUGAGCUUCAGAAAUAGAAGACCAAUAAACAAGAAGAGAGUAGGAAUCAUUAGCUGGAAAAUAAUUGUUUUGUGAUCUCUCCGAGCAGAUAUUGCCCUUUUAAUGAAUAAGGCUUUAGAAUGUUGCCAAAAUGUUGACCUUGUAAUGAAACAACAGCUACAGCACUGCAUACCCAAGAAGUUGAUAAAACUAAUAACUGUGGCAAAAAUUAAGCCACAGGCUCUUCCCAACAUGGUAGUCAUGAAACCAAAAAUCUUCUUAUAAUUUCCAAAAAACUUAAGACAACUUAUUUUUGUGGAAGGAUGAUCAUUAGUAGGAAGAGAAGCCACCGAGUCUGAUUUAUGGGUAUGGUUAUUUUCUACAAAGCAUUCAACUUCAUCAUAGUCACAUCCUGCAACUCUCAAAAAUACCUCCUCCAGGGUUGUUACAGAUAUACCAUAGCUUUCAAUACCAAGACUGUCUUUGUCACCAUUUCCACUCAAUUCCAUAUUUGAAACUGUUUUUUUCAUGCAACCUUCAAUUUCUCUAAACAUCCUCUCAAAGGCUGACGAGGAUGCCAUUGGAAGCCUGAAAGAAAUCUCAGUUCCAACCUGGAAAUGCAUAUCCAGUUAGUAAGGAUAAAAUGAAAUCAACAAUCACAGUCUCAUAUGUAUCUGGCAUUGAGAUAGACAAUUAAAUCCUUCACAAAAAUAAAGGUAAAAGAGGAAAACUAGGGCUUAAUGUUCUGUUAAAUAAGAAGUCACCAAUGUUUGCUAAACAAUCAAUUAUCAUGUUGACAAAUCUAGCUUAUUCAAGUCAAAAGUUAUGAUUUCUCUCAAGAACAAUUUAACAAAUAAAAAUAGCAGGCAUGUGAGCAUUCUUCAACUUUCAUUUCAACAAUUAAGUGAAUAAGAAAUAUAUUUAUUUGCAUCCAUGUUCCUCUCCUUGCAUAGCAUUAUACCACACUAAUGGUCUCCUGCCCUUUUUUCUAAAAGAAACAGACUAGCACAUGAAUAAAGGACACUAUGGGCCCAUUUGUUUCUAGAAGAAGUGAUUUUGUUGUGCAAAAAAAGUAGUUUUUAAUAGAUUUUAUGUAAACUUGUAAAGUAGAAGCUCUUUCACAUUUGGUUACAAUUAUACUUGAAACAGUGUUUUAUAACACCUUGAGAAGAAGCUCUCAGCGUCACAAAUAUAUUAUAUAUACAAGAAAUAUAGCAACAUAAAUCCAUGAAUGUUAGGGAUUGAGAUCUAGUACAGCAAUUUCCUAUCAUAACUAAGGAAACUACAGAAACAAGGAAAAAAUAAAUGAAUAUUACAAUAGCAAUCACUACUGAAAUCUAAUGAAUACAUAAUCAACAAUCAUAAAAUUACUCUCUUAUAAAAUGUAUGGAGGUUCUAAUUACACUAAUAAUAGAAAGGAAAGAGAAAACUAUGGUUUAUCUCACCAGUGUUGGAUAGAUGUUGGAAUCAACCAUCAGAGGCCAAUUUCUUUGAUAAUUGAUAUCAAUAAAAAAUAUACCAAACAGCAGCAUGUCAACACUUUAAUCUUAUCCAAACAGUUUAAAAUAUAUUUAAAGUAGAUUUUUAAAAAAAAAACAAUUUGUUUGAAGAAGAUCUUAAACAAGUGCAUUCUAACCCAAUGCUAUCAAAGUAGUUUGGUUCACCCCAUGGAAGUUUAAAAACUAUUUAAUAAAAAAGAAAACUAAGUAAAGAAAAAGAUAGUGAUGCCUUCCUCAUUUCUACACUACUCAGUAUUCCAUUUCUUCAAAAGUCAUUUUUCAGUGACCUAAUGACAGGAGCUUCUGAAUCAGAAUCCCUUUAAUUUUACGAGACACCAUCUCUUUGUCUUCCAACCUACAUAGGAGGACUUAGCCCCUUUGUUUUUCUGGAGAAUUUUAUUGAAUCCAUACCCAUUCUCCAAACACCCAAAGUUUCUUCUUGAAAAGCCUAUUUGGAAAUCAGAAACAGGCUCUAAAGUUAAACCUUUACAUUUAAGCAGAACCACUCAUCAACAUUACCAAUUUGUCAUGUUCAGAGUCUUAAGCAAGAAAAACUGAACGAGAAUGACAAUAUUUUAAAGCAGUGCACUGUGUAUGCAAUUCAUUGGUGCUGGUUAGAAAUUAGAACAAAAUGUUCAAAUAAGAGGAAAUAUUUGAAUCUGGAUCUAAUGUGAGACAAAAUAAUUGUUGUCACCACUUUGCAGUACUCGGAAAAUUUGCUUUUCAAGGAAACUCUCCAAUAGACAAGCAAAGAGACAUUAAAACCUAUAAGAGUUAACUAAUGCUAUCUUUAUUUUAGGAUAAUCAACCUUCAUCAAUGCACACAUACAUACAUACACACAAGGGACCCUGGAGAAAGAACUUGCAUGGGAACUCCACCACACCAAUUCAUUUUCAACUACUCAUGCACACUACCAUUGACAAAUGAAUACAUGUUGUAUGAUCUUGAAAUUAACAUAUAUCUUAAAUGAACUAUACUGUGAGAAAAGUACCUCGCUUACACAUGUUGCAGAUGGAACAUGACGGUAUACAAUAUCACCAGCUAUAGAAGCAGUAGGAGCUGACUGAAAGCACAAGGACAAAAAGAAAUACAAAAUAAAAACAACUGAAGUCUUUCAAUUGCAAAACAUCAGAGUCUAUAAGAAUGAAAAAAAAUGAUCACUAAGAGAACAAACCUUCACAAGAGUUAGAGUAUAGCCAACUCCAUAAUGAUGCUUCAAGAAAAGUGAGCUGUAAAAAAAUCAAACAAAUAAUGGGAGAGAGCAAAAUAUAUAUAGUACAGAAACAGAAUUCUUCAGAAUUGCUUCAAGGCAUGACAAUAUCUGAGAAAAACUGAAAAUGAAAUUAACCUUCCACAGCAUUUCAGAGAACCAUUGGCCAUGAUAGCUAUGCGGUCACCUAGUUCAUCUGCUUCAUCCAUAGAAUGUGUAGUUAGCAAAAUUAUCCUUCCCUUCUUAAUUUUUUUUAUUAAUUGCCAAGUCAAGCGCAUCGAGUAUGGAUCCAUUCCACUAGUAGGUUCAUCAAGGACUAUAACCUGCCAAGUAAAUCCAAAAGAUUCCAGUUUUAUUCAACAUAUGAAUAUAAUUAUGUGCUGUCAAUAUGGAUCCUACCUUACUGCUUCCAAUCAACGCAAUUCCAAGAGACAAUUUCCUCUUCAUGCCACCAGAAAGAGUUCUCACAAUACUGUUGAUUUUAUCUGCCAGGCCCACCUGUUUAUGCAAUAAAAGUUAUCCAACAUCCUGGGUUGGUUGGAUUGUUUUGCAAGUUAACAAUGCUAAUAGAGUGUUAGUUAUAUUGGUAAGUUUGGAGGCUUGCAUGAUUUGCACAAGCCAAUGUCGUCUCAGCCAUCCUCCAGCCAUGGACCCUGAAUUCAGGUCAUAACAAGAGCCAUACAAAGUAGGAACGGCUGAUCAAAAAAAAAAAAUACAAAGUAGAAACGCAAACAAGUUUUCCUUGAUUAGUAAACAAGCUGAAAUCUAAACACAAGUUAACAUUUUGCAAGUGCAAUCAAGCUUUAUAAGAGUAUACUGUACCUCAGAAAAAAGCUUGGUUUUGACCUAAGCUCUGAUACCAUAUUAGAUUUCAGAGAGUUUGAGAGAGAGAGAGAGAAGAUUGAGAUUGAGAAACUGUUAUUAUUCAACCCAACUGAAAACAGUUACAAAGAGACUUUAUAUAGUUGCAGUGAGUAACUGCCAACUAACCUAUCUGUCAACUAACCAGAGUUAGUUGAUAGAGCUAACAGACAAAAGACUCCUAACUACAGUAAGUAAAAAUACUUGAGGUACAGUAUACUCUUAUAAGCUUAAAUAGUACACUUUAGCAUAACUUAAUAACAUUUUUUUUACUUGAAGUUGAAUUGUUUUGCAAUCUAUUUAUAGAAAGCAAAAAGUUUAUUAGAGACUUAAGACUUGGAAAAAUAAGAUUAUAAGACUAACAAUAUCUCAAUUGAUUAAAUUUUACCAAUUCAAUUCCCUACAAAUGAUCAACAAGCCUUUCUAAAUCAUACUUAUGUUAUGGGUGUUGUGGUAAAAGCAAAAGUUGUUAAAGACUUAUAAUUACCAAACUCACCUCAUCCGCCAUAUUAAUAACAGCAUUGUCCAAUGAGUGUUCCUCCACACCCUUUAAUGUCGCAAAUAGUUCUAAAUGCUCUCUAACCUGGGUAAAGUAAAUGGAAGAAUUCAGCAUAUCAUACAUUGUAAAAUAAAAAAGAUGUUUUCAGAACACAAAAAAAAUGCAACGUUGUAAUCUAAUCAGAUAUCAUAGUUAGAGAGGGGGGGUGUGAAUAAUUAUAUUUUUUUUUGGAAGGCAAAAUUAGGAUAUUAUUAAUAAACUAAACAGUACCAGAGGUACUGAAGAAAGCAAUUACAAGGCACUAGGUGCCACCUUCCAAAAACAGAAAUAACAAAACCCCAACAGAGCCCAUCAUAAAGGACAUCAAUACAGAUAUCGAUUAACCAAAGGCCUCCAUAAGAUUGGUAGACCAAUGGUUAUAAGAUGUAUUGAAACCUUUGUCUCCAACUUUUAGCCAUGACCAAACUAAAAAUAAAGCAUCCUCCAAAACUUUCUGCGGUUCAAAAGGAGUGCCUUGAAACAGGAGAGAAUUCCUAUGCUGCCAUAUUGUAAUAGAUAGAGCAAUCCACCACAUGCCCCGCCUUCUGUGAUUACUCGUGGCAACAAAUCCAUCACAGAAUUGGAUAAAAUGGCUAGCCGGAUCAGCUGAAAGAGCUCCUAUACCCCGGAUCCAUCUCAAGGAUUCCCACCACAGCCCCUUGGUCAUUUUACAGUGGAAGAAAAGAUGCCCAGCCUCCUCAUGCUGGCAGCCACAAAGAGGGCACAUAAUAUCCUGAAUAGGAAUGCUUCUCUUGGCCAAGUUUCCCCUAGUGGGGAGUCUAUCCAAAAACAACCUCCAAGAGAAAACCGCAGCUCGAGGGGGGAUUUUAAAAUGCCACAGGAUCUGAAAAUUCCUCUUGGAAGGGGCAGAGCUGAUGGAUGGCAUCAGGAGCCUAUAUGCUGACUUAGUGGAAUAAACUCCACUAGGGUCAGCUUUCCAGAACAUGCUAUCAUGAGCCUGAUUCUGGAUGGAUAUGCCUGAGAUUUCAUCCAUGAAGAACCAUAUUUCAAUGCACAACCUUAUAGUACAGUGCAUCUUAGUGUUGUUUAUAAUAGGGAAAACAACCCCAUAAAACCUUUAAUACAAGCAAUGAAGGACCUAGAGAUUUGGGGCACUGUGGGUAAGAACAAUGGCAACAUGUACAUGGUAAUCAUAGCAUGUAAUAUACAAAAAAAGGCAUAGUAAUAAAUAUGCACAUGGGUCAGAAAUCUAUAAGAAUAUGUUGCUUACAUCAUUAUGACAGCUAUACAGUAGAGAAGAUGCAAAAGAAAAAACAGCUGAAAGCCCACCAAAAUGAAAUAAAAACAAAGAAAAUACUCCUAAAUGUUCAGUAUAAGAAUAUGAAUUAGCUGUAUAGUACAAUACAGGUAAUUAGUUAUAAAGGGCAAUGAUUAAAAUUCUAGAACCAUCAUUCAACAAAUAUGCAGAUUGCAGAUAGUCACAAUACAGAGAAUAAAAAAAUAAAAGCAUAUUUCAACUCACUGUUAAUUCAGGAAAGAGUAUAUCAUGUUGUGGGCAGACACCCAAAACCUUCCGUAUCUCAUCCUACAACACAAGACAUUGCAUUUAGAAUGAACACAAGACAUUGCAUUUAGAAUGAACACAAGACUAAGAGCAAAUGUUCAAUAAGAAAGGGGAAAGUAACCAAAAAAAAAUAAACAGAUACAGAAACUGGAUAUCCAUGUCUGGCUAGUCAAUUGAGGAAAAUAUUGCAAAAUCCAAAUUGGGACAUAUUCGCCUUUACCAACAUAAAUAUUAUAUACAGCCUUAUUAGAGUAGUUUGUCUCUUCCCUAACAUACGUGUAACAGAUAUUUUAUCUUAGUUACCCAGUAGUUAGUCUUUACCCAUAUGUGUUUACUCUUUCUAUAUUUCCUAGUUACCUUAUCUAAGAUAGAAGAUUAUUUUAUCAGAUGAUUCAGAUCACUAUCCCUUUCAUUUAGCAAUCCUUCUUUGUAUAAUUUCAUAUAUCAUAUAUCUAUAUAUUGUUUUAAGACUGAAAGCUUUUGCUCAUCAAUCAAUAAUAAUAAAUCAGUUUCUGCAUUUCAUGUACACCCUACUUUGCAUCGUAAGCUGAACCAGAUCUUGUUCCUUCUCAAGUACUUGUCCCUCACUUUGACUCAUUUGUUCCCUUCUCCUGGUGCCCCAUAGUCACAGGAUGAUCUUCCAUUGCUUCAAUUUGGUAGCACUUAUGAUUGCUGUCAUCCUGCAAUUCCAGAGAUUAUGUCCAUUGUUGAUUCUCAUGAUUCACCUCUUACUCCAAUCUCUUGACCUGUUGUAGUCCCAUAUAAGCCUUUUGUUGACUUACCAUUGCACUUCAUGAAGGUAAACAUUUUACCCUUAAUUCGCAUCACAUUUUUAACUUUUUAUCAUUGACUGUCUUUCCCAUUUUUUUUUGGAAGGCAGAAAAUAUAUAUAUUAUUAAUAUGUAAGCCAGUACCAGUGGAACCAGAGAUAAAAUUUACAAGGCACCAAGGUGCUACCCUCCAAAAAGACCAUCCAACCUAAGCAGCAAAAACAUACAAGCCCAACCCCAACUAGGCAACGAAAUUCGUUAUAUUAGAAGACCAGUGGUUGAAACUAGUACUAAAGUCUUUAUCAUUAGCCUUUAACCAUGACCAAGCUAAAAAAAUAGCAUGGUCCAUGACUUUAUAGGGAUCAAAAGGUUUUCCUUGGAAAAUCAAAUGAUUCCUAUGCUGCCAUAUAGAGCUAGUUAAGGCAAUCCACCACCCACAUCUUGUACUAUGGUUCCCAUUUGCCCCAAAACCAUCACAGAAUUGAGAGAAAUGGUUAACAGGGUUAAUGGAAAGGGGACCUACUACCCGGAUCCAGCUCAUAGAUUCCCACCACAGGCCAUUUGUCAGACUACAGUUGAAGAACAGAUGGCCCACAUCCUCCUGUACACAACCACACAAGGAAAAGGUCCCAUUGUGACUUUGUUUUUGUUAUUUCAGUUCAUCUAUUACCAUUCCUAAGAAUGUUCAAGAAGCACUAUCCCAUCCAGACCAAGCAUUCACAUUGGAUUAAUAUUUUACCACAACCAAACCAGUUAUCUAUCUCCCUAUGAUAGUAAUUGGAACAAUUGUUCAGAUUCUAGGGUAUAUCACCCCACAAUAUGCUUGUUUAUAUGAAUAGGGAUUAUACUAAUAUCACUGGAUGGGCAUGGAGGUUAAAAUUUGCUGUAUUUGCAUGGAGGUUAAUCCGAGACAGAUUACCAACUAGAGUAAACUUGCAGAGAAGACACAUUCAGGUUGAAGAUUCAACAUGCCCAUUCUGCAGAGGGGAGGAGGAAAGUGCAGGCCACUUAUUUUUUCAGUGUGGUAAGAUAAUUCCAGUAUGGUGGGAGUCCUUGUCUUGGGUGGGCAUGUCGGGAGCCUUCUCAAACAACCCAAGGCAACACUUUAUCCAACACAUAUAUGGAGUUACAGCGGGAAUGAGAUCUAGCAGAUGGAAGUGGUGGUGGUUGGCACUGACGUGGACCAUUUGGCAGCAGAGAAACAAUAUUAUAUUCUCAAAUGGUACAAUCAAUGCAAAUAAAAUCUUAGAUGAUGCAAUUUUCCUGAUGUGGACGUGGCUCACAAAUUUGGAGAAGGAUUUCAACAUGCAUUUUAAUUUCUGGUACUCUAACAUCAGAGCAGGAUUCCUCAAAUGAGGAGGACAGAAUUUCAGAGCAGAUUUAUGUAAUGUUUUCAUGUAGAUCAGAUUAUGGUCCCAUAGGUAUACCAAAUGUCAAGGGACCAAAUCUGACCUGUAUUAUGUACUUUUAGUACCACUGGUACUCAUUAAUAUAAUACUAUUUUUGCAGAAAAAGAAAAAAACUAAUAUCACUGGAUACAGAAGCAGAUUGGGCAAGUGGUGCUAGUGAUAGGAACUCCACUUUAGUUUACUGUGUUCUCUUUGGAGGAAGUUUAAUUUAAUGGAACAGCAAGAAGUAGGUAGACUGGUGUUGCUAGAUCAAGUAUAGAGGUAGGUAGAGUAUUGUGCUAUGGCUUAUACUACUUGGAAACUUUAAUGGAUAAAACCACUUUCUCCAAGAGUUGAAGUUCUGUGAGACAAGUCCUAUAGAGCUUGCUUGUAAUAAUCAAUCAGCUUUGUUCAAAGUUAAAACCCAAUCUUUCAUUACAAAACUAAACAACAGAAGUUGAUUAUCAUUUUGUUAGGGAGAAGAUCCUUUCGGGCACUAUCAAUACUUAUUCUGUGAGUUCCAAGGAUUACAUAGAAGACAUUUUCACUGAGGUCUUAGAGAGAAGAUCCAUUCAGACACAAUCAAUACUUAUUCUGUGAGUUCCAAGGAUUAGAUAGCAGAGAUUUUUACUGAGGUCUUACAGAGUCCUAGAACUGCAUAACAAGCUGGAUGCAUAUGUUAUAUAAAUACAUAUGCUCCAACUUGAACGGGAGUGUUGGUUGUGUUUGCAAUUAUGUGUUGUUCUUACCUUCCAUUCUAUGAUAUGUUUUCAUAGUUUCCUUAGAUAGUUUAGGCUGUUACUGACUCUAAACCCUAACCUCUAGGAAUUUGAUUCUGUUUCCCUUUGUAUAUUUGUACACUCAACACAAAUAUUCAAUUGACACACAUACACCGCAUUUAAUAACCACUUUCACAGUCACAUAAGACUCUAAUUACUGAAUAGUCUCCUAAAUUCCUUAACACAUACUAUUUAAAACUUACAAUAUCUGAUACAAUGUUCUUUCCAAACACCAAAGCAUCCCCAGAAGUAGGAGGAAGCAGACCAACAAGCAUUGAGAUUGUCGUGCUUUUCCCAGCUCCAUUAUGUCCUUGAAAAUUGAAACAAAAUCGUUGAGCAAAAAUGUUUAUACUAAAUUGAACUGAAAGGUUCGAGAUACAAUUAUUUAGACUAAUUCAACAUAGUAGCAGUUAGCCGUCAUUGAUGUGACAGCUAAAUGAGCCCCAAACUGAAUUCUAACAGCUGUAUCAAACUAACUAGAUUGCAGUAAGAUCACCCCUGCACAGGCCCAUAGACAUAUUACAACGUGCAUGCUCAAGGGGGCUAGAAUAGCAAUACAAGUGUAUCACAACAGUAACAAGCUUAAAAGCUUAUUAAAUUGUAGCUUGAAGGGAUGUUUUAGUCUUUUAGAAUAUAGAAACAAUAUCUAAUAAUAUCUUGAUUACAUCUAGAGUAACUUAGAUUAUCCUAAAUUAUCUCUCUUUGAAUUAAUUUUCAUAUGUCCUUACUAUCUCUUAAGAAUAGGUUGCAUGUUUUCUAAUAUUUCAUGAUUUGUUUCCUUAUUAAGUUAGGAUUAUGAUUUAGUAUUAGCAUAAAUAUCGGCUAAUGGUUUAUGUUUUGUAACAGAUACAACACAUUAUAUCAUAUCUAGUUAAUACCAAUUUCAGAGUUUAUUCAGUACUCUUUCCUCUAUUCCCUUUAUACCUAAAACCCUAUAAUUUCAACAGUAAUUAUGUGGGGACAAAAAAACUGCACUGACCUAGAAGGGCAAGAAUCUGGUUUUCAUACAGUGUCAGCUGUAAUGAGUUAACAGCACAGCAAUCUCCUUUCUUCGUAGCAUAAACUUUAUGCAAAUUCCUGAUUUGAAUGCACCUGAAAAUUUAUCAAAUAUCAGAAAGAGAUAAUGUAUCUCUGCUAAAUUGAUGCACUUGAAUUGUAUAUCAUAUACCUGCCAUCAAGCUCCUGUUGUUUCAUCUCUAAGCUUAUUGCUUCUAUGCCAGAUUUGGAAGUAUAUUCCCCUGAAAGAUUCCCUUCUGACUCAGAAUUUUUAUCAGAUAUUUCAACUUUAAAACCGGAGGAACAAUGUUUUAGAAUUUUUUUCUUCCUCCAGAAGUCCUUUUGGAAAAUAAAGCUCCAUGGGUAUCUCAGUCCAUACUCCCUUGGAAGAACCUUCAAGAUGAGCAGAGUUUGAAUGGUUUUAUCAUUCACAAGACAAAAUGGAAAGAGAAUACUUCACAGUAAAAAAGAGAAAAGGCUUAAAUAUAUUUGAGGUCCCUAAUAAAUGGCCGAUUUUUGUUUUUUGUCCCUAAUAAAAAAAAAUUGUUGCAUUGGAUCACUGAUAUAUCAAAACUUUUGUUUUGAGUCCCUAUCAACACUAAUAUAUCCAAUCACUUGAAUAGUCUAAUCCAGAAGAUAUAUUCAAAUAGAGCAAUGAUAUUUGAACACCCACUUUUUUUAAACACCCCAUCAAUACCUCUCAUUUCUCUCUACUCUCUCUUCAUAUCACCCAUAAUACCUAUACUUUUCUCUCUUUUAUCUCUCUCCCACUAGGUGUCUAGUAGCACAAUGGAUGUCCAUAAAUAAUUUUCCAUUCAAAUAACCAAAGACAUGCCUUGUCAAAAUAAAGUCCAGUCGCACAAUAUAGCAGUGUAUCAAGUAUCAUCAUCAGAAGACAUGCCAAAAAGUUCACUCCAGAUGAUUCCUGAAAGAUAAAUAUAUUCGAUUUGAGGUAAAAAAGCAAAAAAAAAGGUCAAAUUAGUAAUGUUAAGGGCAUUAUCGCAGAAACUCACCCGCCAUAUGUUGCUCCAACGGAGUCCAACAUGAGCACGCUCAUAAUCAGCAAAGUUGAUCGAACCCAAAGCAAAGGCUGUAGGUGAAAGUAAGGAAGCAAUAACCUUCAAGAUUCUGAAGGCAGGCAACCUCAAAUGAAUGAAAUCUAGACUCAAAUAUGAAAAUUUGAACUACAAAAGUAAUAGUUAAAGGACAAGAAUUCACAUUGAAACUCCCUCCUCGUUGACAGUGUAAUAAGGGAAAAAGGCUCCAAGAAACGCCAGAGUUCCAACAGCUACAGCUGUUUUGGCCCGUUUGAAAAACGUUGAUAUAAAGAAUGAGAGCAUGAUUGCACUAAGCCCAAAAACGAAAAAGUAUGCAAACACCAGUGUCUUAUCACUAUACUUGAAUAAAUUAUCCAUUGUGCAAGCUGUAAGGAUCCCAGAAGAAAUUGCAAACUGUAAAGAAUAAAUAAUAAAAAGAUGAGAAAAUGACAAUUUCUUGAUCUAGAAAUGGUAAGAAUCAACUCAUUCAUCACAACAUUAGUCAUACACUAAUUUCCAACUUACAACACAAUUUAAGUUAGGAGAUGAAAUAAAGGAAUUGAGUUUCAACACAAAUUAAUGGAGCACUCAAGCAUUUUCUUGUAAUUUGAGGAGUGCUAGAAACACAGUAUUACUAACACUCUUAUCUAUUGUUUGGAAUUUAAUCAAAACUACAAAAACAGGAGAGAAAGAAUCAAUAAAUAUGAUGUAGGACCCACAAAAUUGUGAUCUUCAACGAAUUUCAACUAAUAAGAAAGAAUGAGUUCAAAGAGUGUGUCACUGACAUUUCUCCCUGUACUUUAUAUCUCAUAUCUCACCAACAAUGAUGGCAAUAAACCAACAACUUAAAAGUAUUUAGAUUUUUUAGAGGCAAAAAAUUAUUCCUUUUUUCAAAAAAGAUUCAUUAUAAUUUAUUAGAAAGUAUAACAUCCAGAAAAAAGUUAUGUACCAGAAAUCAGGGACAAAUCCAAGGGGGGGCAAGGCCCUUUGUGUAUAUAUGAAAAAAAAUUAAAAUAUUAAUAAUGAAAAACAUAUAUGAAAAUAUGUAUUUGAGAUGAUAUUUGCUUUAAAAAAUUUAGUAGUAGAUCAUAUAUCUAAUUUUAUCCAUAAAUUAAUAAUACAUAUUUUAAAAAAUUAUUAUUAAAUAAUUAUUUAUUAGAACUUAAAUAUUUAAAUAAUUAUGUAAAAAAAAUUUUGCCCCCCUUUGAUACACUCUUGAAUCUGUCCCUCCUAGAAAUAAGAUCGUAAUUACAAGCUUAGGGUGAUUAGGUGCUCCUAAAGUAGCCAAAAAUAAGAUAAAUGAUGUAUCAUAAAUUUAGUUUGCUUUUGAAACAGCAAAGAAAUUUUAUUGAAUCAUUAUAGAGACACAUGAUUUAUUUCCCACCACAUCGUCUAGAGUGUUUCACAGUGUUAGAGUAAUUGGUAUUUUGUAAUGGUUAUUGUAUUUGUCUUACUCUCUAAAGUUUUUUUUGCUUUUGUUGUACCCUAAAAGGGGCUAUGUAUAGGGCAGGCUCCCUUAGGCCUGAACCUGUCACAUCUUUCCUUUCUAUUGUACUUCAUCAUAUAUUAUUAAUAUAAGUGGGUGCCAAGUGAGAGAAUAACUCUUGAGCACUUUUGAUCUAAACCUUCCCUCUUUAAGUCACAGCUCCAUGUAAAAGUCCCCUACCUGUAAUAUUGAAACAUCUUUUGAUUCCUACAUAGUUUUCUUCCUUCUUAGAUUUUGAAAAUGGUUAACAUAAUAUAAUAUUUAGGAAGGAACAUAAUAUUAUAUAUAAAGUUUGGAUAAAAUAUUUUAUUAUAUAAUAUAUUUAUGAAGGAAUAUAAUUAUAUAAAAAUUUAAAUAAAAUAUUUAUGGUUUAUUUUUAUUUAUUUACAGUUAUGUUAUAUAUAAACAAUAAUUUAUUUAUUAUAUAAAUAAUUAUAUGUUUGGAUUAUAUUAUAUACACAAUAUAUAUGUUAAAAAUAAGAGAUUGUUUUUUAUAUACAUAAUAUAUACAAGAGAAAAACAACAAUCAUACAUACAAAUGCUUAGAUAUAAUAUAGUAUAACAAAAGAAGGUUUAAAAGGAAAUUUGGAAUAGCUCCCGCAAGUAGUAUAUGGCUCCACAAGAAGCAAUUAGGUGAGGAUAUAUUGUGUUGACAGUUACAAAAAAAUAGAGGGUGGGUAACGCUUUGGCUUUGAGAGGACUGCAACUUUUAUUUGUGUUGGAAAAGCCACCUACAUUGUGGUAACCCCUAGAUAGAAGGGGUGUGUUGAAAGUUUCACAAGGCAAGUACUCGUGGGCAAAAGGGGACAUGUUAAAGUCCCACAUCAACUAAAAAUAGUGUCGAGAUAAACUCUAUAAGUGAGGAGCAAUCCUCACCUUACAAGGAGAGAAGCUAGAAUCAGACAGGGUGAGAAUGCUUAGGGAGGGUCUUCAAGAAAUGUGUAGAACAAGCUCUCUUCUAAACUUCUAUGGUACGAAUUUUAGUUGGGGGUUCGUGUAACCUAAGUGUUGUGUUUGAUUUAAUGAUUUUUAGUUCCCAAACUUUUUAACAUUUAUGGUUUUGGUCCUUAAACUCUUCGGCAACAAAUCAGCAUCCCCAGACUUUUUUUUCCAUCCAAUGUUUUCAUCCUUUCCGUCCAUUUUGGCUCCCCACCCAUCUAACUCAUUAAUCCUGACAGAGUGUAAGACUGUAAAAAAAGGAAAAAAAAAAAAAGAAAAAGCUAUAGCAGAUGGAAUAACAAUAGAUUUACCUGCAAAGCAUAUGUGAUAAACCAAGAAAGGUGAAAUAUACCAUCGUUCAGGCCCAUCAUAUAGAGUCCUUCUUUAAUCUUCUGUUCCUGAAAUAUUACAUCAAUAAAUUGGGAGGUACGAACAUAACAAAAGAGGAUGGAAUUUCAUAUCUCACAAAUAAUAAUAAGAAUAAGAAGAAGAACCCAAGGGGAAUUAGAAACAAAUCGGGCCUAAUGGAAAAAAACCCAAGUCCCAACUCAGCUAGAGAUUCUGCCUAGAUGAGCUAGCUUUUGAGGUUAAGUUAGGCCCAAACCCACAUUCUAAGGCCUAGCUCACUCCCGGAAAGUAGCUCAAGGGAAAAGGAUUGCCCAAGUCUUAUAAGGAGUAUUCAAUGUAAGACAUUUUAAUACACCUCUUACGCACAGAACUAGACAUCUAGUGUAUGAAAUUUGCAAGACUGGACAUCUAAAAGUGGCGCAAAACUAAGAUAGGAUAGGCUAUGAUUAUGAACAGACUUGGCCUAACUCAUUCCUAGAAACUAGCUUGAGCGAAAAGGAUUGCCAAGUUUUAGAAGAAAUAUUCUAGCCAUAUUCCUAGUCUAUGUGAGAUAUUUAAUACAAAUUUUUAUUUUUUUUUUAUCAGCAAAAUAUGAUAUGUAUAUAAAUAUAAGAGUACCAGGGGUACUAUAAUUACAAAGUUUUAGAGAAAUCCUAGUGGAUCCUCAUGUCAAGUUACUUUCAGAUUGAUAUGAACCACCCUAUAUAAAAGAAUACAUCAUCAAAGCCCCAUGGCUUGUGAGAAAUUGGAUAGAGAAAUUGGAUAACCAAAUAACAUAGGUAAACCAAAAGGAAAUAUUAAACAAAAGAUAACCAAACCUUCUCAUACACAGAAUAACUGAUUAGGCGAGAAAUUGGAUAGAGAAACCCCAAUAAGUACCUGCACAUACAAGUCUCCGUUAAAAAGAAUAGCUUGUUUGAGAUAUAAUCUAAUAAUACUCUAAACAUAAUACAAAGGUUUAGUACAAGCUUACAAUAUUCCCAUGACUCUCUUUAUGAUUGACUGGAACUGAUCAUCAGUGUACUCUCGAGUGGGAAAUGGAGCUAUUCGUAUGCGUGCAGGGUUAAACUGAGUCCAAGGAUUUUUCAAUGAGAAAUUAUUGUCAUAGAAGCCUGGAAGAGGAAGCUCUAGAUUUUCAGCAUUGAAAUUGAAGUCAGACUGCUGCGCUAUUAAUAUUAUGAACGAAUCAACCAUUUGCUGGAGCUACAGAACCAGAAAAUAUAAAUGCAUUAAUAGUGUAACAAAGUAUAGAUAUCAAGUUAACAAAUAGAAGCGACAAAGAUGUAAACUUAUAACAUAGGGAAGCAAGCAAAGAAGGACAGAAGAAAGCAAGAUUCCCUCAUUCCCACAAGUUGAAUCGACCCAAUGUCUUUCCCUUUAAGUAAACCAAUACCAUUUCUAGCUUUUCAUCCUCCAUUGCCGCCCAUAUCCUGAAAUAACACUCCACCUCAUGAACCCAAACCUUGACAUCUUCAUCUCCACCAAAUGUGGGUAUCUCUAGCCUCCUCCAUUGUUCUUGCAGUCUUGCUGCACGUUCAAUCUAAGACUCUCCCCUCUCCCCCUCAGAUUCCUCUCUACGAAAUGCAGCAGAACCUAUAUACCCACCUUGCAUACUUGCAUCCAUCUACUGAAUCAGUUGCAACAUUAUUGCUUCCGGCCUCCUAAGUGCCUCUUGAUCAGAAUCUUGGGUUCUGCUUAGAUUUUCCAAGGUCCUCUGUCCAUAGAAUUCCAUUUUCUUGCCCACCAUCGAAUUCAUCUUCUGGUGUAUUGCCUAGAUUGAGCUCUGAUGCCAGUUGAUAAAUUGGUCAACUAAUCAAAUUAGGGUUCACAUGAAGACGAGUGAGAGAAAACAGAAUGAACCUUUUAUUGCUAAAGGGCUGAGAAUUAUGAACUGUGAAUUUUCAAAACUGAAUCAAGAGUAAUUUUUUUCCUUAUUUAUAUUACAUAACUGUCUAACUGCCACUAUUUAACUCUAACUAACUAACCGUAUAUUACAGUGGCCAAUGGGCAUAAUUCCCCUCUAGGCUCUUACUCCUUCUACAAUACACUUUAGUAAUUGGGUUUCUUGUCCUAACACGAGCAAGAUAUGGGUCUUUCCAACUACUGCAAUAUGCUGAUCAUGCACUAGUUAAUUUCAAAAUACUUAAUAGAGGUAAUAAGAUAGGGGGAAAGAGACAAGAACAAAUAAGAAAUUGAAUGAGAAUAAAGCAUCAUACAGUCAAAAACCCACUGAAGCUGUAUUGCAUUGUUGGUACAGCACUAACACCAAGUUCCAAGUCAUUAAGAAAAGGGCCAUUUGUAUCCAUUAUUGUUGUAACAUCUGGAAAACCGGAGAAAGCCCAUGUAUGAUUGAGGCGUAUGCUAUAAUCAAAUGAUUGAGGACCUUGUUCAUAAAACACAACUGCUCCUUUAAUUUUGGGAUUUGAACAAUUCCUAAACAGGUAGAAGGGAAACAAAUAAAAGUAAUUAGUAAAACAACCCAUAUUCCGGCUUCUCAAAAAAUUUCAAACGGCUCAAAUAAAAGCAUCAUUUUGAUAUUUCAUGACAACAGCUAAUAAAAUUACUGUAAAGACAUUACCAAAGCUAAACAAAGUUAUAAUCUAAAAGAGGUAGUCAUGCGAAUAAUUUCCAUUUUUAUAGAAAAAAAAUAUUAGAGAAAAAAAAAAAGCAACUUCAGUACGGAGAAAGAAGAGGGGGAAAAAAGUGACUAAAUUAAAAUAAAAGCAUGCAUAAAUUAGUACCCCAAUAACUAAAAAUCCAAAUUUAAAGUAACAGCACAAGCUUUAUUUAUUUGAUAGGAGAGGUUGUUUACAAGAAUGAAGCAAAUAAGAAUCCAUACUGACGGUAACCCAGAAUACUAAUAAAGAAUAAAUAAUCUAUGAAGCAACUUAAACCUCAAUAUCCCAGAACUCUAAAGUAUGUAGAUAAGGUAGAGCGCACAAAAAAGAACAAUUGUACAGCAGCACAAAAGAGCAACUGGGAAAAAAAUCAGAAGAGAAUAAAUAUUAUUUUGUGGCUGUCCAAGGAGACUGUAUCUUACAACUGAGUGAUUCAGUUAAUCGAUAAGAAUAAAACCUAAAUUGCCAUCCACAGAUGCAACCUAAAUAUAUAUAAACCAUAUAAUAGCCGGCCUAUUAUUAUACUUGUUAAAGAUAUGAUUUUAUCUUUACGUACAUAUGGAAAUGGGGAAACAUUGUAUAGCUGAAUAUUAGGGAUUAAGUUAGUGAUUUCUUCCCUUAAUUGUAUCAUUAUUUAUGAUUAUGAAUGUUAGAAUCCCUAAUUACUAGCUGAUUAGCAAUCACAUUUAUUUGUAUUUAUUGUAAAUAUAUUAUAUAUACAGAGCUGUGUCAGUGUGUGAUCUGCUUGAGACACAAUUUUAUGGCAUCAGUGAUUUAGGAUUUCUGCCUCUUUUUCUUUUUCUUUUCCGCCUUUGGGCCUGCUGUUCUUCAUGUGUGCAUAGUACCCACUGCUACUGCCAGCCACCGCCACAACCUCCGAUAUCCGGCGCGACCCCACCACUGGCUUCACUUCCCUCCGGCGACCCACAGUGGAAUAGGAGUAUAUUUAGUUGAUAGAGACUUUUCCUUUCUUAGCUGCUAUGUAUAGGCUUAACUACAGUUUACUGUGCUUUCAUAGUUAGUUAGUUAACUGACUAGAGACAGUUGACAGUUACAACAGUGUAACUGUCUAUAUAAACUGAGGUGUAAUUGUUUCUCACUUGGAUUGAAUAUUAUAACCUUUCAUCUCAAUUCUGUUUUUGAGAUUCUCUCUCUCUCUCUAAGAUUAGUUUAUAGUAUCAUAGAGCUUCGUUUCGAUCCCUUGAUUUUUCUUCCAUGGCUUCUGCUUCCAUUCCUCCUUCCCCUCCUCCACCAAGGAACAGUGGCGCUCUGCUUGGUUCUUCAGCGGUUGUCACCACAAAGGAAUUUUCACACUCCAUUUCGCAGAAGUUGAACAAUUCCAACUACCUCCCGUGGUGUCAACAAGUUGAACUAGUGCUCAAAGGCCAUCGCCUCUAUCAUCUUCUCACUAAACCUCAAAUUCCACCACGAUACCUCACCAUUGCCAAUUGUGAUGCUGGUGUAACUUCUCCUGAGUUCUUACUUUGGGAGCAACAAGAUCAACUCCUCCUAUCGUGGCUACAAUCCACCAUUUCCGGCGAGGUUCUUCCGUAACUCGUCGAAUGCAAAACCGCUUGGCAUCUUUGGGACAAACUUCACAAGCAUUUUUACUCCAUCGUUCGUGUGAAGAAGCGGCAACUUCGCAAUGAUCUCGUAACAUCUUUCUUAACAAUAGUUCUAUUUAUAACUAUUUGUUUCGCAUCCAUCUGGUAAACAUCUUUCUUUCUUAACAGUGCCAGAUCUGUCAUAGGUAUGGUCAUGAAGCAUCUUACUGUUAUCAAAGGCACAAUGAUGACUAUGUUCCUACUCAGCCUAUGGAGUAUCCCAACCAGUAUCCUGAUCAGAAUCAGUCUCAGACCUCAGCCAACCCCAAUCAGUAUCAAAGUCUGAAUCAGAACUCUAACACCUAUCAGAAUCAGCAGUCUAAUCAGUACUCUGCUCAGCAUUCUCCACAGGCUUAUCUGACUGGUGUUCCUUCGGCCCCUUCUCCAAAAUGGUAUCCAGAUUCAGGGGCUUACCACCAUGUCACAAAUGUCUCCCAGAACAUUCAUCAGACCACUCCUUUUGAAGGCAAUUUACGGUCUCAAACAAGCCCCUAGAGUUUGGUUUGACAAAUUAAAGGCUACUCUUCUUAGGUUUCGGUUCAGGUCAAGCAAGUGUGACCCCUCUUUAUUUGUUUACAUAGAUUCCAAAAAUACUGUCAUCUAUAUGCUUGUGUAUAUGGAUGACAUUAUUUUUACAGGGAACAACCCCUCUUUCAUCAAAUCCCUAGUCACCAAACUCAAAUCUGAGUUCUGUCUUAAAGACCUAGGGAGUCUUGACUACUUCCUGGGAAUUGAAGUCAGACCUCAGCCCAAUGGUGCCCUCAUUCUCACACAGUCAAAGUACAUUCAGGAUUUGUUGGGGAAAACAAAAAUGGAUGAGGCCAAUCCAAUCUUUUUUUUUUUUGGAAGGCAGAAAAUAUAUAGUAUUAUUAAUAAGAGCAAUAGUACCAAAGGUACUUAAGUGAAAUUUACAACAGCAGCUAUGCUGCCAGCCUCCCAAAAAACACAUAUAAACCCAUCACAAGUCUCCACCAACAGACAAAAACACCCCAGAUUAACCAAAGGCCUCCACAAGGUUGGAAGACCAAUGAUUAAAAGGGAUAUUAAAUUCUUUAUCUCUAGCUUUAUACCAGGACCAAGCUAGGAAUAAGGCGUCAUCCAUCACUUUGGAAGAUACAAAAGGAAUACCCUGAAAAAUCAGUAAGUUCCUAUGCUUCCAAAUAGCAAAAGUUAAGGCAAUCCACCACCCACACCAUCUAGAAUGGUGUCUCCCUACAUUAAAACCAUCACAAAAUAAGCUGAAAUGACUUGCUGGAGAAACAGGGAAUGCUCCACUAGCAUGAAUCCACCUCAAAGAUUUCCACCACAGGCCAAUAGUUUGAGUGCAAUGGAAAAAAAGAUGGUCAGCCUCCUCCUGCUCCACAUGGCAAAGAGGGCAGAUAGCCUCCUGCAGGCCCAUAUUUCUUCUGUGGAGGUUAGCUCUAGUAGGGAGCCUAUCCUUUAUAAGCCUCCAAGUGAAAAUGGCAGCCUUUGGGGGGAUUUUUAAUUUCCAAAUAAGCUGAAAGUUCCUCCCAUCUGAGGCAAAACUAUUUAGAUUUGACAGAAGUCUAUAAGCUGAUCUAGUAGAGUACAUCCCAGUAGGAUCAGCUUUCCACAGUAAGUUAUCUUUCAGAUGACACUGAAUAGGAUAAGCACUGAUCUCUUCCAUGAAAGCCACAGCUACUCCCUCCUCAUGCUCGAAUAAGUGUCUCCUCCAUUUCAGAUCCCAUCUCCAAUUGUUCUGGUAGAAGCUACCCAUGUUUGAAAUGAGAUCAUUUUGCUGCUUACUAAUAAUGAAGAGCUGAGGAUAUUUCUGUUCCAAGUUGCAGUCCUCCCCCAGCCAGUUGUCUUUCCAAAAUCGAAUUUUAUCCCACAACCUGCCUUCCAAGCCAUGUUUUGAUGAAUAAUCUUGAAGUCAUUAUGCUGAUAUAUCUUCCUGAGGUCCCUCCACCAAUGAGAAUCCCCACAAUGAACUCUGCCAUUCUGCAAGACUGGCCAUCCUCCAUACUUGGAAUUUAGAACCCUGACCCAGAACUGAUUCUGUUUAGAGUAUAAAUCCCAAAUCCAUCUUCCCAUGAGAGCUGCAUUAAACUUAGACAGAUUCUUGAUUCCCAAACCCCUUUCCUUCUUGUGAAGACAUAUUUCAUCCCAUUUGACCCAAGGGAUCUUCUUUUGAUCAUGCUCCCCCCCCCACAUGAAAUUCCUUUGCAGAGAAACCAAUCUAUCAGCUAUUCUUUGAGGUAGUUUAAAGAAGGAUAAGAGAUAGAUUGGUAAAGCAUUCAAAACAGAAUUUAUCAAAGUGACCCUGCCAGCCAUAGAUAAGCUUUUCUGAUUCCAUUUAGUGAGUUUAGCUUCAAAUUUGCUGAGCAAAGGCUGCCAUAUCACCUGACUUGAGGAUUUGACCCCAAUUGGGAUACCCAAGUAGUGAAAGGGGACACCCAUCUGCCUACAAUUCAAAAACUGGGCAGCUUCAUGAGCCCAAUUAACAGAAUCCCCAAAGAUCCCAAACUGGCUUUUAGCAUAGUUAAUUUUCAGACCGGAGGCCAUCUCAAAGCCUCUAAGCAUUGCCUUCGAAACAAGAACAUUUUCCAAAGAAGCUUGACCAAUAAAGACAGUAUCAUCAGCAUAUUGGAGGAUAUUAAUAGGCUCUUUUUGUUUUCCCACCAAGUAGCUUCUAUAAAGAUUUUUCGAAAUGGCCUCUCUCAUCAAUCCAGUGAGACCUUCACCCACUAUAUUAACAGAAUUCUGUUAGUUAGUUUGUGAUUAGCUUCAAGGUCUAGAGGUUUAUAAAUACCUCCUUUGUAACUGCAUUAAAAACUAACUUUUUCAGAAUCAAUAAUAUCAGUUUUUCCUUUUUCUGUUCUCAAUGUUUUCUCUUAUUUUUUCUGUUCUCAAUGUUUUCUCUUAUUUUCUCUGUUCUCUCAGUUCUCUAAAUCUGAUACAAUCUCUUCUCCAAUGGUUGGAGGCUGCAAGUUAACUAAAUCAUGGUAUGAGCCUUUUCAUGAUCCCACACUAUACAGGUCUACUGUGGGGGCCUUGUAGUAUGCAACCAUCACUUGGCCAGAAAUCAGUUUUUCUGUUAACAAAGUCUGCCAGUACAUGUCAGACCCAUCAGAACAGCAUUGGGCAGCAGUAAAAAGGAUCCUCAGGUAUCUGGCAGGCACCAUCAAUUUUGGCUUGAAAUACUCCACUGGACCUCCAUUUGCAUUACAUGCCUACUGCGAUGCUGACUGGGCAUCUGACCCAGAUGACAGAAGGUCAACCUCUAGUGCAGCCGUCUUCUUUGGGUCCAAUUUAGUUUCUUGGUGGUCAAAGAAACAGUCUGUUGUUGCCAAGUCCAGUACAGAAGCCGAAUAUCGCAGUUUAGCUUUGGCCACAGCAGAGGUUACAUGGAUUAAAUCCCUUUUGUCUGAACUGCACAUUCCCCACCACUCUUCUGUCAUCUUCUGUGACAAUAUGAGCACUGUUGCCCUUGCUCACAAUCCGGUUAUGCACUCUCGUACCAAGCAUAUGGAACUGGAUCUUUCUUUGUCAGAGAAAAGGUUAUGGAUAAGCAACUUCAAGUCGUCCAUGUUCCUACCAUUGAUCAGAAAGCUGACAUUUUGACCAAGGCUUUAACUCCUCCUAAUUUUGCUACUUACAGAUCCAUGCUCAGAGUGGUUGAAAACUUUACUUCGACCCUCUCAUUAACUUGCGGGGGGUAUAGGAGUAUAUUUACUUCGACCAGUUUAUUGUGCUUUCAUAGUUAGUUAGUUAACUGACUAGAGUCAGUUGACAGUUUCAAGUGUGUAACUGUCUACAUAAAUUGAGGUGUAAUUGUUUCUCACUUGGGUUGAAUAUUAUAACCUUUCACCUCAAUUCUGUUUUUGAGAUUCUCUCUCUCUCAGAUUCGUUUAAGCGGCUCUAUCUUCUCCAGCACAUUUUCCAGUCAUCGCUGCAACUCUGGUGACUUCAAUCCUUUAUUACAAUAUGGUAUCGGAGCCAGCCUAUCAUUCCUUUCUCCUAGUAUACACCUUCCACUCCAUUUCCUGGGUUGGGCCUCUCUCAGCUAGGCCUACAUCCCUAACAAGAUAUCUCAAAAAUUAUCCUACAUGGGUUUGUCAAUACCCUUCAUCUUUCCUAGUUGUAUAACAAGAAGUAUUUUAUUUACCUUGUAUCCAAAUAACAUACCAUUCUAGUAGGAUUUUAUUGCCAAAAUAGCAAAAGGAUUUUACCUUGCUUGAUUGCAGGUACCAUAAGCAUCUGAACGGAUGUAGGUUUCCAACUCUACCUCAUCUUUGUAUACUCUACUAACUAGCUGCAUAUAGGAUCCAAAUUUUAGUUAGUUUGAGUCGAUGAACAGAGAACACACUUAUCUACUUAAUUCAAAAAGGAUAAAAGUUCUAAGAGAACUUGCUUGAAGAUGCAUUUAGCUACAUGAAGAUACUCCAAAAAUAAAAGAAGGGGAAAGUGGGGGACAAAGAAAUAAAGCUGACUUAAUUUUAAUUAAGUAGAGCAAUGACUUCUGUAUGCAUGGAAUCAGCCUUGUGAAUUUGCAACUGACUUCUUUCAUCUAUACUAAUAAUAAAGGGAAUACCCACAUUUGGUGUACACAAUUCAUUACACAAUUUUGUCCUUGAACCACUUCUUAAACUUCCAUUAUUCUUUUCUAAGCCACUGUAACUGCCCACUACUCUUUUAACCUCAGGAACAUUUUUCUUCUCUCUGCUUCUUUUAUUUUAUUUAAAAAAGUUUAGAGUCCCCCUAGCAAGUUAAAAUAACAAUCAUUGAAUUUUUUGUCAAAUUUUAUUCCUCUCUCAGAAAAAAAAAAUUAAAAGGCUGGUUUAAUGCUCUGAGAAGCCAAACUUUUCUAAGAAAAUAGCAGCUACUAGUUAACAAUUUAUUUUUAUACACUAGUUAACUUGUUUCAGAUACCUAGAUUAUUUUUUUACAAUAUGACAUGAUGUGUACUGGAUACAUUAACAAAAAUUUAUAGAAAAUUUUAUAUAGAUGCAAAAUAUUGGGUAAAGAAACAGACAUGGAUCAUUUAUCAUUAAUUCAUAACUACUCCAAUUCCUCACACAGCAUGAGGAACAACAUGGCUGCAAAAGAAGCUUUAAGACAAGCUUUUGGAGUAGAGGGUUAGAGGAUCUAUGCAUCACCCACCAAGUUUUUGGAACUAAUACUCAUCUAUCCUCGAUUGAAUCAAAAGAACAAAUUCACCCACACAAGAUGAGAAAUUAAAUAAUAAUUCAUAAACUUUUUUUCUCUCCUCAUCAUGUGGAAACUAUCUCUUUAGGGGAAAAAAUAUUAACAACGGAUACUUUUCGGAUACAUAUUUGGGAGUAUUUGAGUCAUAUCCCAACCAUAUCUCAAUAAAAUUAUAUAUAUAUAUAUAAGAUACUUUUCAGAUACGUAUCCGAGGAGUAUCGGUGUCCAACACAGGUACAACACCUAUAGUCCUAUACUUUUCCAUUUUAUGGAGUAUCCAGGCUUCGAAGUACAAACUUAAAGAGUGCAAAACAUAAAUUGUAUCUUAUGAUAGAUCUUUCUGAUUAUCACAAUCUCAACCUUUUAAUAACUUUUCUUAGAAUUAUUAGCUUAAAUGCACUUGAAUACCCAUGUUGGAAAAUACUUUUUCAUUGAAUUUUGUAUUCCAGAAAAACCCAGUGAAGGCAACUAAGAAGUCGAUAUUUCUCUUACAAGUCACAAGUGGCAAAAAGAAAGAUAAGAAAGGAACAACAGGCACAAAUAGAAUAGUUAAAGACACAUGGCUAAAAAAUUGAACAGCCAAAGAAGAGGUUUAAGUGUGCAAUUGUGCAUGACACUGAGAGAAACUGCAUUCAAGCACUCAACCAUAGUAAGGCUCAAGCUUGGAAGGGGGGUACAUUUCAUCAAUUUGGAGGAAUCAAAGCAAAAUAUUUCACCCACAUAUCAUGGAUAAACUAAGCUUAGAAAAUCAAAUAGUAUAAGACAAUGAAUGAAUGGGUACCUUCAAGAGUGGAAAUUUUAUUGAGACUACGUCUAUCAACAGCUUGGUCUCAUUGGUAUCUGGCGCAAAAGCUAAAUACUCUCCCCUAUCCAACAACGAUUGCAAAACUUGUUGAAAGUUGGGGGAUAUACCAUUGCCCACUUCCACAAACAUAUCUUUUUGAAUGUGCCUGCUCCAUUUCCACAUAAACUUUUACUCCUCACGAAAUACUAAAUUUGAAAAAUAUUCAAAAUUUCCCUCCAUAUAUUUUCGAAUCAAAAUCUCUCUCACAGAAGUUAUUUCCAUUUACUUUUUCUUUUACUUUCUAAAUAUAAGAGUAUUCAAAACUGAAAAUUUCUACUAAAAAAAUUAAAUUUAUAACCUUUUUCGGUUCUCCAUACAACAGGGGGAAAAGUAAAACACAAACAGAGAGCAAUGAAUAGAAACACUCACGGCUGAACUGGAUGAAUUUGUGUAUCCACUUUGGUCCUUACAGCUACUAACAGCAACAACACAAUCGUAGGGAGCAAAAUCUGCCAUGGAUUGAGUGAUACGCAUCAGAAAUUCCGGCAUUCACCAAUCCAUCUUCACAAAAUCGAAAUGGACAUGGAAGAGAAACAAACAAGCAAACAAACUAACACACACACAUACAAAACUCUAAAGGACUAAACACAUAAUUAAAAAAAAUGUUAAUGCCUAUAUAAUCUACAAUAGAAGAAACAUUACAUAACCGAAUAAAUCUUCAAAAAUUACCUUAAAGCUAAAAAAAAAAAGUCAACCUUUAAAAAAAAACAAAAAAGAAACUCAUAAAAACAGAAAAUUUAAGCAAAGAUAAUCGCACAAAAGAAAAAUACGGAAUCGGCCAAAUUAAGCAAAGGAUCAAAAUCAGAAAACAACAGAAAUAGAGUGAGAGAGUAAGGAGCAAGUGAUUGAGAAACAUGCAAAGGAAAGAGAAGGUUGAAAUUGAGAAGAACAGAAAAAUUGAGGAAAGGAAAAAGGGAGAUGACCUCGGCGGCAGUGACGAAGGGGUGGCGAAUCUUGAGGAGCCAGUUCUUGCGGAGCAUGACCUUCAACUGCCUCCACGCAGCUCCCAUGGCUGCGGCGAAACCCUAGAAGCAGACGCGAUAGGGUUCUAGUUCUUAGGGAAUGCGACGGAUAAGGAAAAAAGCGAAGGAAGGAAGGAAGGAGGAAGAGGUGUGCAGUGUAGUACUCUUCACGUUGAAAUCGCAAUUUGGCUGUAGUGGCAGAGAGAAAAAGGUGCGCAAGUUUAUAAUAACUAAACGGAAAAUACCAAGACCCACCAACGCCUCCAAUUAUUUCUUUUUCCUAUUAUUAAUAUUAUUUUUUUCGAGACUCAAAGAAUUGUAGAGGUACAAUUACCAUUAAUAACAGUAUUCCUUUUGAAAUAUGACUUCUAUGCUUAACUAAACUUUGUUGGUUUUAUUAAUUUAUCAUUGUCUAUGUGUGAAUUAUGCCGUGCCAAAGGAAACAAAAUAACGGUGUUCUGAUCGGAUAAGUUCAGGGAUAUUUAAAUAGUAUUUAUUUAUUUACUAUAUUUGUGAGUUUCGGAAUAAUAGAGGGAAAUUAAUUAAUAAUUAAUGAAAGUGUUUUUUAGUAGGGUAAGGCGGUGGGGUAGCGUCUGUUACUUGUCACGACUUCGAGACUUGGCGCGCCGGUGACGUCUUCUCUUCUCGCGAGAAACAAACAAACCAAAGAAUAAAAGCAGUGUUAUCUUCUUACAGUCUCAGAGAGGCUGCUACAAAAACCAAUAAAGAUAUUUUUAUUUUUUAUUCGAGAUUCUUUUUAUUUAUUCACAGGUUUUUUUCUUGAUAGAUUGCACACGUUGACUGGUUCUUUUUUAGUUUACUACAGCAUUUACGAAUUUAAUAGCUGAUGUUUUUAAUUUCAUUUUUUGUCUUAAUCUAUUUAUUUAGUUUUUUAAUCUAUUUCAACUUUUGGGGCAUAAGCUUGUCUGUUUGUGCAAAUAAAAGAAUAUAUAUUUGCAUUACAUUUCAGAAUAAUAACAAGCUUCAUUAGUCAUUAGUUCCGAUUGGUACAACUUCAUACCACCGUGGUCAGAAAAAAUUAAUAAUAAUAACAGACUUCAAAUACACUUCACACCUAAUAUAUUUUUCUAUUUGCUCUCAAACGACAACUUUGUUAAUUAAAUAUCUAUCAUAUAUUCAUAUGCUAUCAUUAGUGCAUCUGUAAGCCAAAUAUGUUAUACCGAAUCUUAAAUAUGCUUCGGUCAUUAAUUAAAACAUAUAUCAAAAAGUGUUUAAUUCAGUUCAUUAAACAUGUCUAAAUAUUAUAAUUUUUUUAUAUUAUCUUUUAUUCUUAUAGAUAAAAAAAAAUACGUGUUAGGUAGAAAACAAAAGAUUUUUGGAGCACUGGGACAGGAAAAUAAUAACACAUUUUUGUUUGUUUAAUAUUUUGGUAAAAUUAAUUUUGAGAAAAAUAAAGUUCUGAACUGUGUUUGAUGGUGAUAUUUUAAAAACAAAUUUGAAACAGUUAAUUGUUUUUUAUAACAAGAUAGUAUGACUUUUUAAAUAUAAAAAAUAUAUUUGCAUUUUAUAAAUUUCAGAUCUAAAAUCAACUUUAUUUAUAAAAAUGUUUCUCUCAAAAUCAGUUAUUCUUUCUUCUUCGAUAACUUCAAUGAUUCUAACUAGUAUAGAAUUAAUAUUUUCCACAUUAAAUUUACUAAACACAACAAGUAUUGUAGAAUUGCAAAUCAAGGUUUGAGGCAGCAAACGGCCUUUUCGGUAUGUAACCAAAAGUGAGAACCAUUAAUUGGUUUGUACCAUUAAGAACAUUCAACAAAAUAAGCCCCACAAGUCCUUUUCUAUAUGACCAUAUGACCCAUCUGGUGAAAUGACUGAAAUCAUCAAUAUAUUUAUAAGCAUUUGGUGCAGGUUGUAAUGGUCCACCAAAAACAAAAACUAUUUUUUUUUAUUAUUCUUGUUACUAUGUUAGAUUAGAUUUCCCUGUUGCUUUUUAUGCAUCAUUUAUAUUUUUAUUAAACUGUACAUAUGUUAUAUAAUUUAGGAUUACUGAUUUUUUAGUAAAACAUACUGUCAAAAAAAAAAAAGUCUUUUAUUGAUAAUUUAUCACGUCUGAUCGGUUGUUUUAUAAUACCGUGAUGAUUAGAAUUUGGAGGGGAUUGGAUGAGAAGAAACAAACAUUCUCCAAUUUGUCAAUCUUUAGUGCAAGUUGCAUUAUGAGUAUGAUGUCCCCUCCUUAUCUUCAAACAUUUCUUCUUUUUUUUUUAAUCUUCAAACGUUGAACUCUAAACGAGUCUUAAUUUUUUGUCUAAAAAAAAGAAGAUGGGGUUUCAUUUCUUCAUUUUUGCUAACGAUAAAUUAAUGAUAAUAAAAAAACAGUGAGAAUAUGAAUUG